This is a long non-coding RNA of Biomphalaria glabrata, 1440 nucleotides long. RefSeq lists it as uncharacterized. The record is from RefSeq and is a predicted model, not a curated record. NCBI's taxonomy places the organism in Eukaryota, Metazoa, Mollusca, Gastropoda, Planorbidae. The transcript has 4 exons.
CUUCACUUUCACAUCACACUAUUAUUGAUACAGACAGUGAAUGAAACGAAUGCAGUGAUUAUAGUUUAUACUGAUUAUACUUAUAGAUCUACCAGUUGAUAAUCAUCAUCAUCAUAGAUAAUAAUCUAGACUAGUAUUCUAGAUCUAUAAAUAAUCAUAGUCACCGUGAUAGUGCCCUUUUUAGUCAAUGUAGUCAAGUCAAGAUAGUGGAACGUAAACUCGAAGGUUUAAUACAAUACAGUAUAAGCUAUGAUUAUUAACAAGUAGAACCAUGCCAACCAGUUCUGAUGAUGUACCAGAAUGGCUCAAGGAUCAUACUUAUACUAUUUCUACUCUCUGGGCAGACAUUAAUAAUAUUGGCAUCCAUUCAAUAUUUAUUUUAUGUUUGGAAAUGGAAGAAAAAGGCAUGCAUUCCUGACAAGUCAAUGAUUGGUUGCACCUCUAAAGAUAACUUUCUGUUAUGAGAAAAGAUGAGAUUCUUGGACUCCUGCAUAGCACCACCAGAAAGGAAAAUCCCAUCAUGUUGCAAAAUAAAAGUCUUGGACCAAUUUUAAUUUAAGAUAUAUAUAUUAUACUGUAAGCUCUAUACAUAUUUAUGUGUAUCCUGUCAUUCAGCCAACAGGUUUGGAUUUAGUAUUUCUUUAAAUCUGUUUGAUAUUGUACUUGAAAACUAUUAAUCUGAGCCCCAUUAAAACAAUAGGGAGUGCAGUGAAUGAGUGGUAAAGCACUUGGCUUCUGAACUGAGGGUUCCUGGGUUCGAUUAAGACUGGGAUUUUCAAUUUCAGAAUUCAAAAGGCUAGGGAUACAUGGCAAUAGUAAGGAAUAAGUAAAGGCAGUUUGGGGAUCCAUGGCUGAAUGGUUAAGUCAUGGGUUUGAAUCUCUGUGAAGACUCAGAUUAAAAUUUUUUUUAGAUUUUUGGGUGCCCCUGAGUCCACCUAACUCUAAUGGGUAGCUGACUUUCGUUUUGGAAAGUAAAGAUGGUUGGUUGUUGUGCUGGCCACAUGAUGCACUGGCCAAAGAAUCAAAUGACCCUAUAGAUUGUGACGUCUGAAAUGGGAUUUUUUUUCAAAAGGUGGUUGGUUGUUGUGCUGGGUACAUGACACCCUCGCUAACCAUGGGGCACAGAAACUGAUAAACUUUAUAUCAUCUGCCCCAUAGAUUGCAAGAUAUGUAAGGGAAAUUUUACUUUUUUAAAAUUAAAAUAAGAAUCUAUCAAAAGUAAACAUAAAAUAUGGUGCAUUCUCCUUAAAACUAAAACCUGGUGCGAAGGUUUAAAAUGUUGGCAAAAAAAAGCAACAUCAUAUAUUCUUAAUUCCCUUUGCAAAACUUACUGAGAAGAAUAUGCAUGUUGUUCCCUCAUAAGUUUCUUGACAGAGGAAAUCUUGUUUAUAUUAGAUUUGAAUUAAGCAAAUUAAGAAAAAAAUUAUAAUCAUUAUUUCA